GUGAGUAAGACAACUACCUACCUCUCCUUACUGCUGAUGUGCUACUGAAAAAGUAUUGAGCCCAAUCUCCCAUUUUUUAUUUUUUAUUCAACCUUUAUUAACAUAUUCUAUCUAACUAGAUACUCCAGCUAUCCAUAAAAUACCUUUAUCUCACCCUUUGUUAACCCACUAGAAUUUAUUGACACACCGGUACGUCAAUCUAAGUAACAUAAUUUAAAAAAUCUCCAUCAAAAUCUGUCAGUUUAAGCUAGAGACCUCUGUGUCACGACACCGACGGAUUGUGGCGCCCCUCCUCGCCCGGGCGGCGCUCGGCGGGCGUCGUCGCUGGCCUACUAGCUGCCAUCGAUCCUCUGUUUCACUUUCUGUUGGUUAGGUCUAGGUUAGGCACACACCUGUUUUGUUUUAGUUGUUAUGGGGGGGGGGUGUAUUUAGUUUAGCUAGGUAGGUUUGUGUUUUGUGCGUGAUUGUCUAUGUCAGGACUGAUGUCGUUUUGAGGAACGUUAUUUUCCCUCUGCCUGUGUUUUGUGGGCUGCGUCCCUGCUUAGUGGUUAAGCGGGGUGUUUUUUGGAGCAUUUGUUUGUAUGCGGCCUGCCCUACUGUGUUCAGACAUUGUGGAUGCCCAUUAAAGUGUGUUCACAGAUUUUCUGUCUCCUGCGCUUGACUCUGCCUCUCCUGCUUCCUUGAGCCAACCUUGACACUCUGUUUGCAUUGGAUGCGUCUCAAUCCACCGCAUCCGCCGAUGUCGCACUUCCGCAUCUCCGGUGAAAGUUGGCAGAGCUAGAGCGGUGUUUGUCAGACCACGAGACAUGCUGAAAAUCGGUCUUCUCACGUCUGUAGCGUCCAAAUGGUUUGACCUACAAACUCUAUGGAAAGGGGAAAUUCUCACAAACACAAUGGUGUUCUACGUUUUGCUCUACAACCCCCAGAAGUGUCACGGGACUUGUCUGAAGGUAACCAUUUUUUUUAAAUUAUGGAAGUAUGAAGGUAGUUUUGUGCAUACCCUAAAAAGGGGUUAAAUAUGUGUAAAAUAUAUAUAUAUAUUUCCUGAGCUUUUUUAUAUCUCCUAGAUAUAGGACAAACACUUCAAAACCUUGUUUCUUAUGAUUUAUUUUUUGAUGGUCUUUUUUGCCAUUUAUUAAUUUUAUUUAAUGCAUUUCUCUGGGCUAUAGUAGUAAAGGCCAAGUUUAAAAAAAAAUAUAUAUAUACAUGUUUUAUACCUAAAGGGGUCCUAAAGUUGUAAAUCAAAUAGCUGAAUGCCCAUAGUAUGACCAUCUUAAAACAAUUCCGAAUGUCAGCUUUGAAAUCCCUCCCUAGCGGCUUAGACUUUUAAGAAUGAAUAAACAAACAAAAACUACCCAUGUAAAUCGAGCCAAAAUGUUUUCCCCUCCCACCAGCCAGAUAAAACGUACCUGCCCAACCCCAAGCAUGCACCCUUGGCAGAGUAGAGCAAACCACAUCCCUUGCUGAAUCUUCAUAACUUUUUUAUCAGCUUGCAUCAUCACAUCAUCCAGAGAUAGAUCUGACAUGCACUACUGUCAUGUUACAGCUGAGAUGGAGAAUACAUGCAACAUAUAUUCUGCAUUAGUUGAAUGUUAGCUAGGUACAGCAUGUAAACCAAAGCUAGAUUGCUGAC
This 1633-nucleotide long non-coding RNA is filed under the name Salmo salar (Atlantic salmon). RNAcentral's name for it is "lncRNA (ENSSSAG00000101197.1)". The record is from RNAcentral. Lineage: Eukaryota; Metazoa; Chordata; Actinopteri; Salmoniformes; Salmonidae.